Molecule: ribosomal RNA, 431 nt
Filed under: uncultured bacterium
Lineage: Bacteria
Description: partial 16S ribosomal RNA
Rfam family: Bacterial small subunit ribosomal RNA
Source: RNAcentral
AACGAACGCUGGCGGCAGGCUUAGCACAUGCAAGUCGAACGCCCCGCAAGGGGAGUGGCCGACGGGUGAGUAACGCGUGGGAAUCUACCCAUCCCUACGGAAUAACGCAUGGAAACGUGUGCUAAUACCGUAUACGCCCUACGGGGGAAAGAUUUAUCGGGGAUGGAUGAGCCCGCGUUGGAUUAGCUAGUUGGUGGGGUAAAGGCCUACCAAGGCGACGAUCCAUAGCUGGUCUGAGAGGAUGAUCAGCCACAUUGGGACUGAGACACGGCCCAAACUCCUACGGGAGGCAGCAGUGGGGAAUAUUGGACAAUGGGCGCAAGCCUGAUCCAGCCAUGCCGCGUGAGUGAUGAAGGCCUUAGGGUUGUAAAGCUCUUUCACCGGAGAAGAUAAUGACGGUAUCCGGAGAAGAAGCCCCGGCUAACUUCGUG